GGCGUAGGAGGCGCCGUCGCCGGAGGGGACGAGGGUGCGGCCGACGUCGGUGAGGGAGUAGCGGCGAGCGCCGGAGGUGGCGCAGCGGUUCUCGGCGAAGACGCCGUGGCUGGCGAGGAGGCGGAGGAGGCGCUGGAGGACGGACGGGUCGGAGGAAGAGGGCGGCGGGGGGCGGAGGAGGGCGAGGAUCUCGGCUGCGGUGAGGGGGGAGUUAGAUCCGGACUGCCAGAUGGCGUCGGGGACGUUGAGGCGGACGACGGCGUUUAGCGCCAUGGGGACGGAGAUCAUGUUGGCGAGCUCCAUCAUCGCCAGCCGACCCUGCUUUCCGACCUCCGACGUCGGAUCCUCUCGACCGCC
This 357-nucleotide long non-coding RNA is filed under the name Musa acuminata (dwarf banana). RNAcentral's name for it is "long non-coding RNA (MACU_LNC006459)". The record is from RNAcentral. Lineage: Eukaryota; Viridiplantae; Streptophyta; Magnoliopsida; Zingiberales; Musaceae.